GAUGAAGAACGUAGCGAAAUGCGAUAAGUAGUGUGAAUUGCAGAAUUCAGUGAAUCAUCGAAUCUUUGAACGCACAUUGCGCCCCUUGGUAUUCCAUGGGGCAUGCCUGUUCGAGCGUCAUUUGUACCUUCAAGCCUUGCUUGGUGUUGGGUGUUUGUCUCGCCUCUGCGCGCAGACUCGCCUCAAAACAAUUGGCAGCCGGCGUAUUGAUUUCGGAGCGCAGUACAUCUCGCGCUUUGCACUCUGAACGACGACGUCCAAAAGUACAUUUUUACACUCUUGACCUCGGAUCAGGUAGGGAUACCCGCUGAACUUAAGCAUAUCAAUAAGCGGAGGA
This 337-nucleotide unclassified non-coding RNA is filed under the name soil metagenome. Its description in RNAcentral is "partial contains 5.8S ribosomal RNA, internal transcribed spacer 2, and large subunit ribosomal RNA". The stretch from base 1 to 120 matches the Rfam family "5.8S ribosomal RNA", at positions 35 to 154 of the family's 154-position model. The record is from RNAcentral.